This is a long non-coding RNA of Microtus oregoni (creeping vole), 1642 nucleotides long. RefSeq lists it as uncharacterized. The transcript has 4 exons. The record is from RefSeq and is a predicted model, not a curated record. NCBI's taxonomy places the organism in Eukaryota, Metazoa, Chordata, Mammalia, Rodentia, Cricetidae.
CUUGGCCCCGCGCGCCCCGCCCCCGCCGCGCCCCGGCCCGAGGCCUGCCUCGGUGUCCAGUCCCAGGCCACAGACCCACAGCCUGGGCGCCCAGGCGCCAAGGUGCAUUUAUGGAGCGCCUACGGUGUGCCUUGAUCUCUCUGGAAUGGUCCUCUGUGUGCACCAGGAUCUGGUGUAAGCACUUGAGCUGGAAGAAGCCACCAGUGUCCCCAAGGGAAUGAAGAGCCGGAGGCACAGAAAGGGCAGUUGUCCUGGCCAAAAUCACACAGCAGGUGACGGGGCAUGUAGACUCAGGUUCCAUUGUGUUGGUCCUUUUGGAGGGUGUCAGGUGACUCUGAGACACUGGCUGCAGCCGAGCCCAAGAGGCACUGGGAUGCCGCGUGAGUCCUCUGUACGUCCUGGGCCCUGCCCAUGCUGACCGUUGUGCCUGCCUUCCAUGUCAGUUCCGGAUGUCACCCUCACCCCAGCUAAGGCCUGGGUUCAUGAGCCGGGUAAAGCGGUGGCAGGCACCCGUCAUCCCAGCUCUUGGAAGGCAGAGGCACCAGAAAUUCCUGGACAUUCUCAGCUACUUAGUGAAUGUGAAGCCAGACUGUGCUAGUGAGUCCCCAUGUCAGACACCUACAGGCUGAGGUGUGGCGCUGGCCUCUGGGUGAGCAGCCCUGCCGUCUCCCAUGCUGCAAACAAACACACAAGCCAGACUGCACCCUCGCGGGCCUCCCUGGGGUCCUCUUCCUCCAGCACCCAAUGGUGGCUGUGACCUCUGCCCCCACCACCUAUUGGUGUUCUGUACAUCUAGGGUCUCAUGUAGCCCAAGCUGACCCCCAACUCCUUCUGUAGCUGAGACUGACCUUGAACAUCCAUUGCCCCUGCCUCCAUCUCAAGAGUGCUUGGAGGCCAGACGUGAGCCACCAUACCUGGUUUAUUAAGGAGCUUGGGGCCUGGCCGUGAGGGGGGGGGGGCGCAGUGGACUGGAAGCCCUCCCCCCAGCCUCCUCAGGGGCAGGGGGUGAUUUCUCUCUGCUCAGGGUCAGGCACCUGACACACCUAUGGGGCGGACACCUCAGAUCAGGGAGUCACCUGGGGUGUUUCAGGCCUUGCCCAGACUCCCAUGGUAGGUCCUCUGUAGGGGCAGCCAGUGAGCUAACCACUGAGCUUCUCUGCAGUCCCAGCUACUUUAUUCUGCACCCAGAGUGCAGCAAGGGCUGGCCUGGGAUCCUCCCGUGUUCCCCCCACCUCUGCACCUUGGAACAGCACUUGUGCCAUGGUACCCAGUCACGUGUGGCCUCGAACCUGGGUCCUCCUGCAACACGGUAAGCCCUCUCCCACCUGAUCUUCCCCAGCUGCAACACUUUUGUUUCUUCAGACAGUGUCUCAUGGAGUCCAGAUUUGAGUUUGAAGUCUCAAACCGCCUGUGACUCCAGUUCUGAGGACCCAGCGGCCCAUUUGGUCUCUGAGGGUACUGCGUGCACAGGUUACAAUCCCGGGGACCUAAUGGCCCCUUCUAGCCUGCAUAGGUACUACACACACGUGCACAGGCAUUUGCAGCCAACACACACAUGAAAUAAAAAUAAAUCUGGGACUGGAGAGAUGGCUCAGCGGUUAGGAGCACUGACUGCCCUUCCAGAGGUCCUGAGUUCAAUUCC